AGGUAAAUUUGGACCACGUCCUUGCACAGCAUGGAGAAGAAAGGUGAGGCCCAUUGAGUUUACAAACACUGAAAAAGACAAACCAGUCUUAAUAUUAAUUUAUUGAGCAAAAGUCCCAAGCGUGCACGUCAGAAACCAAAGGAAGCUGAAAACUGGAAAUUCCUCUCCCCCUCUUAAACUUCAUCACCUUCACAACUGCAACCAACAACUAGUCUUUGAUCUGAGUAUCGCUCCUAUGGCCAACCAACAAGGACAUUCUUCUUCUUCUUCUUCUUCUUCUGUAACUCAAGAUCCAUGGACAUAUGAUGUGUUUGUGAGUUUUAGAGGUAAGGAUACACGCACCAAUUUUACAGAUCAUUUGUACAAGGCCUUGUCCGAUAAGGGGAUCUACACCUUCAUUGAUCGUGAGCUUAAAGUAGGAGAAAAAAUCUCACCGGCCCUUCUCGAAGCAAUUGAAGAGUCACGGAUUUGUCUCAUUGUAUUCUCUGAAAACUAUGCAUCCUCAAGGUGGUGCUUGGACGAACUCGUUGAGAUCCUUCGAUGCAAAAGCUCAACGAAUCAAAUAGUUUGGCCCAUUUUUUACAAAGUGGAUCCUUCGCAUGUACGGAACCAAACAAAUAGUUUUGGUGACGGAUUUGCUGACAUGAACUGCAGAUUUAAGGAUAAUACGGAGAAGGUGCUAAGGUGGAGGAGCGCUCUUAGAGAAGCAGCAAGUUUGAAAGGAUAUACUUGCAAGGCGGGAGAGUAUAUUUCUACCCUCUAUAGUGCACAUAUGUCAGAAGCUACAUUUAUCAACCACAUCGUUGAAGACAUUGUAGUCCUAGUGCUAAACCGCACAUAUUUGAAUGUGGCUAAGUACCCAGUUGGAAUUCACUCUUGUGUAAGAGCUGUGGAAAUGCUUUUAUGUGCUAGUGGGAAUGGUCGCCGCAUAUAGUUGGGAUAUGGGGGACAUCUGGAAUAGGUAAGACAACAAUUGCGAAAGCUGUUUAUAAUGCAAUUGCUCAUAAGUUCGAAGGAUGUUGUUUCUUGGCAGAUGUUAGAGAAAAUUCAAUGCCACAUGGAGGCUUAAUCCAACUACAGGAGACUCUUCUUCAAGAGAUUCUAGGUGGCAAAAAGUUGAAAAUUGUUAGUGCUGAUAAAGGUAUCUCUAUUAUACAAAAAUUGCUAAGGCAUAAAAGGAUUCUCUUAAUUCUUGAUGAUGUGAAUCAAUUGGAGCAAUUAGACAACUUGGCUGGAGUUGGUUGGUUCGGUGAGGGUAGCAGAGUCAUCAUAACUACACAAGAUAGCGGAUUGCUAAAAUGUUAUGGAAUUGAGUUGAUAUAUGAGGUCCAGAAGUUAUAUGACAACCAAGCUCUUGAGCUUUUCAGUUUGAAUGCCUUUGGAAGAAAUGAACCUCCAAAUAAUUAUUUGGAACUCGCAAAACGAGCAAUAGCCUAUGCUCAAGGCCUUCCACUAGCUUUAACACUUUUAGGUUCCCAUCUUCGUAAUAAAGGUAUACAUCGUUGGCAAGCCAUAUUAGAUGGUUAUGAAGGAGAACCUUAUACAGGUAUACAGAAAAUACUUCGAAAAAGUUAUGAUGCAUUAGAUAAUUCAGUGCAACAAGUUUUUCUAGACAUGGCGUGUUUCUUCAAGGGUGAAGAUAAGGACUAUGUGAUGCAAAUACUAAGUUCUAAGCACAAGGCUUCCCAAGAUUGUAUUGAAGUCCUGGUUGAGAAGGCAAUGAUAACUAUUCAAUAUAAUAGGAUUUUGAUGCAUGACUUGCUAGAAAAAUUGGGCAAGGAUAUAGUUCACGAAGAGUGCCCCAUUGAGCCUGGCAAGCAUAGUAGAUUGUGGUUUCAUGAUGAUGUUUACCAUGUUCUAAUAGAAAAUAGCGGAACAAGAAAAAUUAAAGGCAUCAUGGUGAAGUUUCCCAAGCCAGAUGAGAUACCCCUUGAAUGCAAAAAGCUUCUUCGGGAUGGUAAAUCUUGAAAUUUUCAUAAACUGUAAUGCAGUUCUAUCCGGAUAUGUUGAAUAUCUACCCAACGAGUUGAGGUUCAUUGAUUGGGGUAGAUGCCAGUUACAAUUAUUGCCAUCCAAUUUUCAUGCAAGGCAUCUUGUUGUGUUCAAUAUGCCCUGCAGUGAUAUCAGACAAUUGGAGGGAUUUAAGAAAUUCCCAAAGUUGACAUCUAUAAAUUUAAGUGGUUGUCAAUUCUUAGAAAAAAUCGUUGACUUAUCUGGAAUCCCAAAUUUGAAGUACUUGAAUCUAAGUGAGUGUAAACGUUUGGUUGAGGUCGAUGGUUCUGUUGGAUUCCUUGAUAAACUUGUUGAAUUGGAUCUCAGAGAAUGCUUUCAGCUUACAAGGUUUGGAACAAGACUUAGAUUGAAAUCCUUAGAAAGACUUUAUCUAUGUGAUUGUAAAAGGCUUGAGAGUUUCCCAGAAAUAGAUGACAAGAUGGAAUCGCUAAUCAUUUUGGAUAUGGAAGGAAGUGGCAUAAGAGAAUUGCCUUCAUCGAUUGCAUAUCUUACUGGUCUUGAAGUAUUAAAAGCUGAUUAUUGUGAGAACCUUUCAAAUGCGUCAUUACAUCGUAUAUAUGGAUUGCAACGUCUCGGUGAGCUUAGUGUCAAAGGGUGUCGAAAACUCCUUACUUUUGGCAAUGAGGUUAACUUUGAAGGUUCAUCCAGCUACACUGAAUUACAGCUGCUUUCAAAUAGCUCAAAUUUUUCGGAUGACAACUCUCUCUCAUUAGCGCUUCCCAGGCUACGUUUCUUUUUUCUCGGAGGAUGCAAUUUAUCAGAAAGUGAUUUCCUCCCGCCUCUCAAUUGCUGGUCCACAUUAGAAGAACUUGAUCUUUCCGGAAACAAUUUUGUCAGUCUUCCGGAAUGCAUUAGCAAAUUUGUCAACUUGCUCAGCCUUAGAUUGUGUGGUUGCAAGAGGCUUCGGGAAAUUCCAGAAGUGCUUCCACCAAAAUUAAAUUCAGUAACCCUGAAUAGUUGCACGUCACUGGAAACAUUUCCAAAACUGUCACCAGGGCUUCAGCAUUUGUAUUUGACUAAUUGCUUUAAACUAUGUGGCUGUGACAUCACAGAAAACAUUUUGUUGAAUCAGGUCUCUCUCUCUCUCUCUCUCUCUCUCUCUCUCUCUCUCUCUCUCUCUCUCUCUCUCUCUCUCUAUAUAUAUAUAUAUAUACACACACACGUUUUAAGUCAAUGGUUGUUGUAAUUAUUCUAGGUGUCUUCUCAGAGUUCGACAAUCGAAAUUAUAGUUCCAGGAACUGAAGUUCCAAAGUGGUUUAGCUGUUGUAAAGAGGCAACAGUAUUUGAAGAUCCUUUUUCAGAUAAUAAAGGGGAAUACGCUGCUGAAUGUGAAGUUUGUUUUGAAAUUCCUCCAAAUUUAGAAUGGGAGACGUCAAGAUUGGCUCUAUGUGCUGUUUUCGAUCUCAUGACUUAUCAUGGUUGUCAGUUUUGCGCCAAGACUCACAUAAAUGGAAAACUGGUCAACGAGAUAUGGAUUUGGGCUGAGUAUGGCAUUAAGUUAGAGGAAACUCAUGUGUGGCUCAACUGUAGUCCAUUAUUGGAUCCGAACAAGAACAUGGUGGAAGGACCCAUGCGGUUGCAACAGGGUAAUAUGUGUCAAGUUUUAUUUUACUACCACGGUGCAGGGCCGAUGACAAGGUGUGGCGUCCACCUAUUAGGCCACCAGGUUGGUGAUGUCAGUGAGACUGGGAUCAUGGUAGUUGACGAUCAUAUCCAUUGUCACUACCAAGAUGAAUUAGUUUCCUUGUCUUUAACAUCAACGAGUGGAGUUGGGAAGAGGCCUCGUGGAUCAGAUACCAUCGCAGUUGAUAAUCAUGGUCCUAACGUUGUCGUCAUGGAUCAUGAUCAUGAAGAGCAAUACCUUACCUUGUUUUCAGAACCAGCAGAUCAUCCAAAGCGGAGGCAUAUUGAUAUUGAUGAGGAGCAAAAUCUCACCUACUGAUGUGAAUGGAGCUUGUUCAAUCAAGGGAAUUGAUGACGUUGCGGAAGAAAUGUACUUGAUAGAGGUUUAUUUUGGGCAAGCAAUAACAGAUUGUGGCUUGAUCCCUUUAAGCACCAGAGAAGAUGAACAAAGUCCCUAGUUCCCCUGCCCUACUUUAUAUGGAAAAUCAUGUCAUCAUAAAUCAAACCGGCCUGCAAAUAAUGAAGCUAGAAGGAGACAUAAUGCACCUGGCGAGGUUUACAGUUGGAACUUAUUACGCUUGGUCAUUGCCAUAGACCUACAAAAUACAAGCAAUCUACUGGUUCUUGCAUUUUAGGUAAAAAGAAAUCUAUUGGAUCUGAUCUUUUUAAUCAGCUUGCUUCCUUUAUUUUGAGAUGCAAUAUUUAAAUGGGUACCUAUACCUAAAUUUUCUGAAGUAUAAUAUAUUGCAUAUGAGAACAUGAAAUCUUGAUGGGCUAUAGUAUAUCGUGCAUAUUAUUGUUUU
This is an RNA transcript of Prunus dulcis (almond), 4439 nucleotides long. It is a transcript of the gene named TMV resistance protein N-like, with no coding region annotated. NCBI's taxonomy places the organism in Eukaryota, Viridiplantae, Streptophyta, Magnoliopsida, Rosales, Rosaceae. The transcript is spliced from 5 exons. The record is from RefSeq and is a predicted model, not a curated record.